Molecule: ribosomal RNA, 1346 nt
Filed under: uncultured bacterium
Lineage: Bacteria
Description: partial 16S ribosomal RNA
Rfam family: Bacterial small subunit ribosomal RNA
Source: RNAcentral
GACGAACGCUGGCGGCGUGCUUAACACAUGCAAGUCGAACGGAAAGGCCCUGCUUUUGUGGGGUGCUCGAGUGGCGAACGGGUGAGUAACACGUGAGUAACCUGCCCUUGACUUUGGGAUAACUUCAGGAAACUGGGGCUAAUACCGGAUAGGAGCUCCUGCUGCAUGGUGGGGGUUGGAAAGUUUUGGCGGUUGGGGAUGGACUCGCGGCUUAUCAGCUUGUUGGUGGGGUAGUGGCUUACCAAGGCUUUGACGGGUAGCCGGCCUGAGAGGGUGACCGGCCACAUUGGGACUGAGAUACGGCCCAGACUCCUACGGGAGGCAGCAGUGGGGAAUAUUGCACAAUGGGCGGAAGCCUGAUGCAGCAACGCCGCGUGCGGGAUGACGGCCUUCGGGUUGUAAACCGCUUUCGCCUGUGACGAAGCGUGAGUGACGGUAAUGGGUAAAGAAGCACCGGCUAACUACGUGCCAGCAGCCGCGGUGAUACGUAGGGUGCGAGCGUUGUCCGGAUUUAUUGGGCGUAAAGGGCUCGUAGGUGGUUGAUCGCGUCGAAAGUGUAAUCUUGGGGCUUAACCCUGAGCGUGCUUUCGAUACGGGUUGACUUGAGGAAGGUAGGGGAGAAUGGAAUUCCUGGUGGAGCGGUGGAAUGCGCAGAUAUCAGGAGGAACACCAGUGGCGAAGGCGGUUCUCUGGGCCUUUCCUGACGCUGAGGAGCGAAAGCGUGGGGAGCGAACAGGCUUAGAUACCCUGGUAGUCCACGCUGUAAACUGUGGGUACUAGGUGUGGGGUCCAUUCCACGGGUUCCGUGCCGUAGCUAACGCUUUAAGUACCCCGCCUGGGGAGUACGGCCGCAAGGCUAAAACUCAAAGGAAUUGACGGGGCCCCGCACAAGCGGCGGAGCAUGCGGAUUAAUUCGAUGCAACGCGUAGAACCUUACCUGGGUUUGACAUGGAUCGGGAGUGCUCAGAGAUGGGUGUGCCUCUUUUGGGGUCGGUUCACAGGUGGUGCAUGGCUGUCGUCAGCUCGUGUCGUGAGAUGUUGGGUUAAGUCCCGCAACGAGCGCAACCCUUGUUCACUGUUGCCAGCACGUUAUGGUGGGGACUCAGUGGAGACCGCCGGGGUCAACUCGGAGGAGGGUGGGGAUGACGUCAAGUCAUCAUGCCCCUUAUGUCCAGGGCUUCACGCAUGCUACAAUGGCUGGUACAGAGAGUGGCGAGCCUGUGAGGGUGAGCGAAUCUCGGAAAGCCGGUCUCAGUUCGGAUUGGGGUCUGCAACUCGACCUCAUGAAGUCGGAGUCGCUAGUAAUCGCAGAUCAGCAACGCUGCGGUGAAAACGUUCCCGGGGCU